This is a long non-coding RNA of Callithrix jacchus (white-tufted-ear marmoset), 3286 nucleotides long. The record is from Ensembl. Lineage: Eukaryota; Metazoa; Chordata; Mammalia; Primates; Cebidae.
CCCCGGCUGGUUUUGACCCUCACUCUUGUGCUUUGUAUGUGUCUACACACACACCAUGGUUUCUUCCUCCAUCACUUGUCUUCUAUUGCACUUUCUCCCUGGACUUCACCCCAUUCAUGGAGUUAUAUUCUUGGCACGUAAAAAGUUUCAACAAAUAUGUGUUGGAAAGGAAGGAGAAAUGAAGUGGAAAAGGUAGGGUGGAAGAACAGCUUCCCCUUUCUAACGUCUCUGUUUCUUUUCAGACCUGUGCCACUCAUUCAUGCCUCUCAAUACUUAGCUCUAAAAUCAUCGCUUCUUGGAAGCCUUCUUUGAUUCCUUCCCCAAGGCCAGUAAAAUAUCUUCUUUUCUGGCAAAAAUUAAUGUGUACAACUCUACAGUGUAUUUACCAUGUUAUACGGUACUGCAAUUCCACCAGACUGUGAAUCGGUUAAAGGCAGGGCAACCCUGCAUGUUCCAUUUUAGCGUCACAAAAAGGCUUGACAUGUAAAGAAAGUUGGUGAAUGUUUUGGGAUUCAAUUUUUAACUUUUACAGAUACUCCAGGACAAAUGACAAGUGAAAAAGCUGAACAGUAAUUUCAGGAACCUGAGACGCGUCCCCAGAGCAGCGGGCUGUCAGGGGGCUUUGCCGUCUUCUGACCUCAGGCUGCUCCGCUUUAGAGGACCACAGCCUACGAUUCAUGUCAGAUACUUACCUCCCCUGUGUUCCAGGCUGAAUUGUAUCACCCCGAAAUUCAUGUGCUGAAGGACAUCGAAGGUGGACAUACUGGAGAUAACAGCCUUUGAGGGGUAAUUAAGAUAAGAUGGCCUCUUUAGGGUGGGGCCCUAGUCCAGUCUGACAGGUGUCCUUAUGAGAAGAGGAGCUGAGGACCCCGCCACACAGAGGACACAGAAGGAAGACAGCCAUCCCCACGCAAGGACAGAGGCCUCGGGAGAAACACCAGCACCUGGGCCUUCCAGGCUUCAGAACAGUGAGGAGAGAAACCCGUGUGGUCCAAGCUGUGUGGUCCAAGAGCUGCAAGGCGAACAAGGAAGAAUGAAAGACGGAGCUAAAAAGAUCGACAUGCGGAGAGCAGUAGCUGGUUGGAGGUAGGAAAUGGGUUAUUUACCUUACCCUUCAAACCAAUUUUAAAGUAACCGAUUUAGUUUCUGACUGCUGGCGUCGUUAAAAGAGGGAAAGGGAAAGCAGUCAGAAAGGCAAGUAUCAGAGUAAUGAAAAGUAAAGGCAGAAUAAAUGUAAAAUAGUGUGUGUUCUGUUCGCUAGAGAUAAAAAUCCUGCUGGAGUUAGACGUAGUAAAUGUUGUGACAAAUAUAUGUGAAAAGCUCUCAAUAUUAACCACUUGUUCUAUCACACGAUUGUGUGUUUAGUUAGAAUAGAUGCUAUUCUCGUGUUUUGAAAAAAAAAUUAAAAUAAAAAUUUGCCACCACAUUCCUCUUACUCAAAGAUGAAAAAACGUCUUUUGAUGUUUAGCAGAGGAAGCUAAAAAAGCAAAGAUAAAAAAUGGAUAAGGAAAGCACCUUCAUUUAAGAACAGCCAUUUACAGCUUUCUUUCCCGCAGAGAUGAUACGUUUUCAUCUUGGUGGGAAUGAGAAUUAAAAAGCUGGAUGUUUCCCUUUGUGAUUUGGUUGCCCGGGAGGUCAGAGCCAAACUACGGUCAUCUGUUGCUUCCUGAUUGCCCGUUCGUGUUUUACAGGCUUUAAGCACCUUUUCUGGCUCAGGGUUUUGCUUUUUGAUAAUGCUUUUUUAUUACACGAGACAUGCACACGCUGCUGUGGCAGCACACAGUAGAAAGCAACAAAUACUAACACCCAUACAUCUGUACGUCCUGUCACCCCAAGGCAACCGUCGAAACUGCUCUGCUCUCAUGCCCUCUGGAUGUGUGUGUGCACGUACGUGUGCGGGAACACAUACCUGAGACGGUUCUGAUGCCCCAGCGUGUGCUGUUUCAUUUUACUGUAAACGUUAACUGAUGGUGGUAAAUAUCAUGUGCGUAUUCCUGAGUUGUUUCAUUCUGAGUCGUUUCACUUAGAAUGUGACUCCCAUUGAUGCAAAAGACGUUCCUACAUUUUUGUGUGGAUGAGUAGCGUUCCACGGCAUAUAGAUACCACACUUUCUUCCGCAUCCAUUCUGUGCUAUGGAAAUACUGUGCUUUAUUUGACCUGUUUUUGAUGUUUCUGUAUUAUAAAAAAUGCCUAAAUAUAUUCUUUAAAACAAUUUCAGUAGCUUUAGAGGUACAGGUAGUUUUGGUUGCAUGGAUGAAUUGCGUCGUGAUGAAAUCUGAAAUUUUCCUGUGCUGUCACCUGAUACUAUGCAGUUUUUUCGUCCCUUACCACCACUCUCAGCCUCUCCACUUCUGAGUCUCCGAUGUCCAUGAUCCCACCCUGUAUGCCUUUACCUCCCCAUAGCUUAGCUCCCACUUACAUGAGAGAACACGCGGUGUUUGGUUUCCCAUUCCUGAGUCGUUUCACUUAGAAUAGUGACUUCCAGCUCCAUUCAAGUUGCUGCAAAAGAUGCUCUUGCAUUUUUGUACGGAUGAGUAGCGUUCCAUGGUGUAGGAUUACCGCACUUCUUCAUCCACACGUCAGUCCAUAGGUGCUUAGGUCGCUGUCACGUCUUUUCAGUUGUGAAUUGUGCUGUCACAUAUAUGUAUAUAUGUGUAUGUGUGUGUGUGUGUGUGUGUGUGUGUGUAUCUAGAUGUAGAUAUAGAUAUACAUACAUACAUAUAUGCAGGCAUCUUUUUUAUGUCAUGACCUCUUUUCCUUUGGGUAGAUACCCAGUAUGGGAUUGCUUCACCCAAUGGUAGAUCUACUUUUGGUCCUUUGAGAACUCUCCAUACUAUUUUCCAUACUGGUUGUACUAAUUUACAUGCCUCCCAGCAGUGUGUAAGUCCCCUUUCACCACACCCAUGCCAGCGUCUGUUGUUCUUUGACUUCUAAAUAAUGGCCAUUCUGGCUGGGGUCAAGUGGCAUCUCGCUAUGGCUUUCAUUUCCGCUCUCUGAUGAUGAGCAGUGUUAAGCUCGUCUGUGCCAUUUGCCCACUUUGUGAGGGGUGGUUGUUUUUUUCUUGCUGAUUUGUCGGAGUUCCUCGUCGAUGCUGGAUAUUAGUUCUUUGUCAGAUGCAUAGUUUGAGAAUAUUUUCUCUCAUUCCGCGGGUUGUCUGUUUACGCUGAUGAUGACUUCUUUUAUUGUGCAGAAGCUUUUUACUUUAACUAGGUCCCACUCACUUAUUUUUGUUAAUGUUGCAUUUGCUUUUGGGGUCUUAGUUGUAAAUUAUUUGCCUAGAACAAUG